AGCAAGGGCUCACCCCUAUACCUUCUGCAUAAUGAAUUAACUAGAAACAAUUUCACAAAGAGAACUAAAGCCAAAUUCCCCGAAACCAGACGAGCUACCCAAAAACAGCUAAAAGAGCGCACCCGUCUAUGUAGCAAAAUAGUGGGAAGAUUUAUGGGUAGAGGUGACAAACCUACUGAGCCUGGUGAUAGCUGGUUAUCGAAGAUAGAAUCUUAGUUCGACCUCAAGUUUACCUACAGAACCACUCAAUCCCGCUGUAAACUUAAUUGUUAGUCUAAAGAGGGACAGCUCUUUAGACAUUAGGAAAAAACCUUGUAUAGAGAGUAAAAACCCAAUCCCCAUAGUCGGCCCAAAAGCAGCCAUCAAUUAAGAAAGCGUUCAAGCUCAACACCAACCAUCUAAAAAAUUCCAAACAUACCACUGAACUCCUUAUAUCACAUUGGAUUAAUCUAUCACCUCAUAGAAGCAAUAAUGCUAGGUAGUAUAAGUAACAUGAGUAUUUUCUCCACCGCAUAAGCCUAAAUCAGAUCGAAAAACUUCGCCGAUACUUAACAGCCCAAUACUAAUAAAUACAAACAAGCCAGUAUUAUUUAUACUGUUUUUUUUUUUAUUAUACUUUAAGUUCUACUGUUAAUCCGACACAGGCAUGCUUUAAGGAAAGGUUUAAAAAAGUAAAAGGAACUCGGCAAAACUCAACCCCACCUGUUUACUAAAAACAUCACCUCUAGCAUUACUAGUAUUAGAGGCACUGCCUGCCCAGUGACACACGUUUAACGGCCACAGUACCCUGACCUUGCAAAGGUAGCAUAAUCACUUGUUCCUUAAAUGGGGACUCGCAUGAAUGGCACCAUGAGGGUUCAACUGUCUCUUACUUUCAACCAGUGAAAUUG
This 890-nucleotide non-coding RNA is filed under the name Chlorocebus sabaeus (green monkey). RNAcentral describes it as "Bacterial large subunit ribosomal RNA". It matches the Rfam family "Bacterial large subunit ribosomal RNA", at positions 584 to 2044 of the family's 2925-position model. Lineage: Eukaryota; Metazoa; Chordata; Mammalia; Primates; Cercopithecidae. The record is from Rfam by way of RNAcentral.